RNAcentral lists this ribosomal RNA (496 nucleotides) under uncultured bacterium. RNAcentral's name for it is "partial 16S ribosomal RNA". It matches the Rfam family "Bacterial small subunit ribosomal RNA", at positions 28 to 507 of the family's 1533-position model. The record is from RNAcentral.
GAUGAACGCUGGCGGCGUGCCUAAUACAUGCAAGUCGAGCGAACGGACGAGAAGCUUGCUUCUCUGAUGUUAGCGGCGGACGGGUGAGUAACACGUGGAUAACCUACCUAUAAGACUGGGAUAACUUCGGGAAACCUGAGCUAAUACCGGAUAUAUUUUGAACCGCAUGGUUUCAAAGUGAAACACGGUCUUGCUGUCACUUAUAUAUGGUUCCGCGCUGCAUUAGCUAGUUGGUUAGGUAACGGCUUACCAAGGCAACGAUGCAUAGCCGAUCUGAGAGGGUGAUCGGCCACACUGGAACUGAGACACGGUCCAGACUCCUACGGGAGGCAGCAGUAGGGAAUCUUCCGCAAUGGGCGAAAGCCUGACGGAGCAACGCCGCGUGAGUGAUGAAGGUCUUCGGAUCGUAAAACUCUGUUAUUAGGGAAGAACAUAUGUGUAAGUAACUGUGCACAUCUUGACGGUACCUAAUCAGAAAGCCACGGCUAACUACGUG